This 229-nucleotide ribosomal RNA is filed under the name uncultured bacterium. RNAcentral describes it as "partial 16S ribosomal RNA". It matches the Rfam family "Bacterial small subunit ribosomal RNA", at positions 107 to 334 of the family's 1533-position model. The record is from RNAcentral.
UGAGUAACACGUAUCCAACCUGCCGUCUACUCUUGGCCAGCCUUCUGAAAGGAAGAUUAAUCCAGAAUGGCAUCAUGAGUUCACAUGUCCGCAUGAUUAAAGGUAUUUUCCGGUAGACGAUGGGGAUGCGUUCCAUUAGAUAGUAGGCGGGGUAACGGCCCACCUAGUCAACGAUGGAUAGGGGUUCUGAGAGGAAGGUCCCCCACAUUGGAACUGAGACACGGUCCAA